Aethalodelphis obliquidens (Pacific white-sided dolphin) is the source of this 973-nucleotide long non-coding RNA. RefSeq lists it as uncharacterized. The record is from RefSeq and is a predicted model, not a curated record. The transcript is spliced from 5 exons. NCBI's taxonomy places the organism in Eukaryota, Metazoa, Chordata, Mammalia, Artiodactyla, Delphinidae.
UCACUCCGCUUUCUUUUCUGGUUUAAAAAAAAAAAAAAAAAAGGAAGCAGAUAUUGCUUUUCGAAGUGUUUUGUAGGUAACCGAGGCAAGAAAACCAGAAGGCAGCGGGCGCAGUUCCGUGCGGGGCCGGGAGCUGAGGCGGCGGGCGGUCCCCACGGAGGCGCGUCUCCAGCCCAGGCGGGCGCGGGGCCCGGGGCCCGGGGCACGGGGCGCGGCGGGGGCACGGCUGCGGCUUUGACCUGGGCACGCUCUGGAAACGCCCGCCACAGCGUCGCUGGACUUACCCACCAUCACGUUACCCAGGCCAGGGCCGUCUUGGGGACACCAGCCCCAGCGAAGGAAGACCUUGAGCUAUUUCAAAGCGCAGACACCUCGAUUCCCCGAAUUUGUUGUGUGGCCGGUAUCGGUGUUCCCCUGGUUUAACUAGCCAGUCUGAAGGCACAGAUCAUUCUUGGGGAAGUACCAACGAAGCCAGUUCUCCCCCCCCCCCCACGGGGUCUCCAUUUGCCCAGUCUACCUUUGGCUGUGACUCCAGAAAGACAAACUUCUGAUUGGCCAAGGCCCAGAGUAAAUGCCACCUCCUCCAGGAAGCCUUUCCAGCGACCAAAACAGCGGUGGAGGCGGACGUCGUCCCGAAGGGCACAGACCUUCAUCUCCAAGCCCUCGGGAGAAGCAGGGGAAGGCUCCUCGGCUGGACUGCGCGUCCGAGGGCUCCGCAUCGCCGGCGUGGGAUGGAGAGCGGGGACCCAGCCCGGCCUGGUCUCCCCUGGCCCCUCCGCCUCCUGAGCUGUGGAGCAACAGCUGGCCGGGCGGACGCCGCGGACUGGUCUCUCUAAGCCUUGGUUUCCGCAUCUGAGCAAUGGGGUAGCUACGCCGGCCGCGAGGAUGCGCAUGAAAGAUGAAUGAGAUCAAGGCGCGCGCGGGGAUGGAUGCCGGACGCACAGGCUGCGCGCAAUAAAUGUGUUUUCUCUUC